CGAGACGUAACUUGCUGAACACUUGCUGAAAAUCUUGUCUCUCCGCUAAUCUGUAUUAAUUCUGAAGAAUCGUCGCUCAUCUUGUCAAACUCAGCUUCGUUCUGUCGCAGGUUUACAAUCAGGCUCUGUGGGACAAAUAUGAUGCCUACGAGUAAAUCAACAUGCGAACGCCACCAUGUGUCCGAACAAAUGACAUGAGAAAUUUUGUGAACAUCUCUCGUUCGAGUUAUUCCGAGUUCCAUGACAUGACAACAUAGCUGAAAGUAAGAAUCGAAUUCGAAACAAAACUAAUAUUGAUCUCGUUGAUUGAAACUUUCGUGAUUUAUUGUUUUCUUUUUCUGUUUUCCCUUCACCAAAGAAGAUGAAGAAAAGUGACAGUGAGAGAAAGAAAGUGAGAAAAUUCUCCAGGCACAUCUCAAUGUCAGCACGUUCCUUCCUACAAGACGAUACAAGAUUAAAGCCUGAAAGCUCUACGACAAGCUGCUACAAAGUUGGCACGUCAGGUCACGUUUGUAUUACGUAGAUUGUGAAGUAAAUAUGUGAAG
Long non-coding RNA from Cephus cinctus (wheat stem sawfly), 545 nucleotides. RefSeq lists it as uncharacterized. The record is from RefSeq and is a predicted model, not a curated record. Lineage: Eukaryota; Metazoa; Arthropoda; Insecta; Hymenoptera; Cephidae. The transcript has 3 exons.